GGGAAUGCGGCGGAAAUGAUCAGCCAUGCCGCGUGCAGGAAGACUGCCCUAUGGGUUGUAAACUGCUUUUGUACAGGAAGAAACCUUUCCACGUGUGGAGAGCUGACGGUACUGUAAGAAUAAGCAUCGGCUAACUCCGUGCCAGCAGCCGCGGUAAUACGGAGGAUGCAAGCGUUAUCCGGAAUCAUUGGGUUUAAAGGGUCCGUAGGUGGAUUGGUCAGUCAGAGGUGAAAUCCUGCAGCUCAACUGUAGAACUGCCUUUGAUACUGCCGGUCUUGAAUUAUUGUGAAGUGGUUAGAAUAUGUAGUGUAGCGGUGAAAUGCAUAGAUAUUACAUAGAAUACCGAUUGCGAAGGCAGAUCACUAACAAUAUAUUGACACUGAUGGACGAAAGCGUGGGGAGCGAAUGGGAUUAGAUACCCCCUGUAGUCAA
RNAcentral lists this ribosomal RNA (432 nucleotides) under uncultured bacterium. RNAcentral describes it as "bacterial SSU rRNA". It matches the Rfam family "Bacterial small subunit ribosomal RNA", at positions 357 to 797 of the family's 1533-position model. The record is from RNAcentral.